AUGGAGUAAAUGAUAGUGAUGGUGAAAAUGCAUAAGUGAUAAUAAUAAAAUGUAGUUCUCAUUGCUCCUUCUAUUGCUAUCUCUCCUCUUCUUUGAUCUUUGCUUUGGGAGAACAUGGGCUAUCUUUUUCUUCUUCUCUUUCUUUUUUUUAAGGUGGGUAGUAGAUACCCCUAAUAAUACUGUCGGACACUUGUCCAUUUUUUCCGCUCAAGUGGGCAUCUUUGUACCCCUAAUUCUACUCCAGACACUUGUCCAGUUUUACCUCUCAUCUCACUCUUUUUCUUUCUUUUUCGAGGUUCCGGGCACUUGCCCCUUUUUAUUUCCUCGUAUAUUUUUGCAUAACCCAUGCCUCUUCUGCAUUAAAUCUUUUUAGAGAGAGAAUAACAAUAUUCGGGACAGUGAGUGAUUAUAUUUUUAGCAAUUUUAAUGAUUGGUGAUGAAUGCUGUGGUAGAUGUGUGCAAGUGAAUAUCUUAAUUUAACCACAUGAAAAGCUCCUAAGGGUCUACACAGCUCGAUUAAACUCAAUGUGAAUAUAGUAAAAGAUGUUAUAGCAAGUAUGGCUGUGGUAGGUAGUUUUGUUAUGCUAGGAACUCAUCAUGUGAUUUGUAAGUUUUCAAAAUAAAUCUCCAGAACUUAGUGUAGUAGGGAUAAGAUAAACAGUAGCUCAACUUUAUAUCAUGUCUUUCUUUUACCUAGACAUUAGUUUUAUGCUUCCCAAAGAUAGUAAUUUUAGUUUUAGUAAUUCCUGGAAGAAUUCUAAUAUAAAAGCUAGGUACUUGUAAGUAAGCAAACAGAGCAACUGUUCAUCAUUUCCAUCAUGCAUAUUUUUGGUCUUUUUAUUUUUUCUAGAGAUUGAACUUAGCAGGUAAAUAAAGCACACUUAUCUACACACUCUUUUUAUUUUGUUUUCAUGUUUAUAAAGUGCAGUAAAUUAAAGCAAGAAAAUAUUUAUUUGGUUUUCUAAGUUUUUUUUUCCUUUUAAGAUAAAUUAAAUACUAAGACAAAAUAGAAUAAAUAAGAAGAGCAAAUAGAAACUUACUUGAUAAAUUGGGGAGAAACUCCCCCAAGCUGGAUGUUGACGUCGGUCUUACCUGAUGUUCCAGAACCGCAUCAUGGUUGUGAUGUUGUCGUUCAUUGUUGUUGUAUCUUGUCUCAGCUCUUCUACUGCAGCUGCAUGGUCCUGGUUCCAUUUUUGUUGCUCUUCCAGGAAUCUUCCAUGUUCUGCUUGCGUGUUCUGGAUGUCGAGGAGGGUGUUGUCGGUACGAGUGAAGAAAGCACCGGCCUCUUGGUAAUAGUCAUUCGUGAAGGCAUAGGAGGCAUCGGAGUAUCGUCCUGCAUCAACUUGGGGUGGAGGUCUGGAUCCUGAAGCUCCAUAUGGAUCAGUGGAGUACCUGCCCGUAUGAAAAGGCGGGUUUGUCCACUGGUGAUCUUGGCUCUCCGGCCAUGUCUCCUCUGUUGGCUCUUGUGGUUGCGCAUGACGAGCCCAUGGGUCUCGAAGGACUCGUGGAUUGUAAUCGCAAUAAUACAGGUGCGCUGCUUCUUCUGGUCCAGGGUCAGCUCCAUACCAAGUGCAUUCUCGGUGAGUGGUUAUCCUUUCAGAUGCCACUCGCUGUGGAGUUCUCUGGUUCACUGGUGUUGCUGCAAUCUCAAUCAAAAAGUUUUGCACAGAGUAGAGGCCAAGGUUCGGGUUAGGUAACCGAAUCUUGCCUUUAUCAUCAUACAGCAUAUACAUUAUAUUCCCCUCUUUCUUUAACAUCCGAGCUUGUCUAAAUGUGUCAUAGCCAUGGUAAAUUCUUAAUUCUUCUAUGAAGUCCAACGAUGAAUUUUCUAGUAAGUGAAGAUUAGUGGCUAGACGAGUGAUAAGUGAAGUACACCCUACUGGUCCCUGCAGACUAGGUAUACUAAGCCAAUGUGAAACUAAUAAUGUAACAGGUGAAGUGGGUACUUUUCUAAUAGCAGCAUAUAAAAGUUGUAAAUCUCCUACUCUUACUUUCCUAAUAUCAUCACGAUAGAAAAGAUUGUACCCAAGCCAUUUGUGAAACAUCCUAAGAGUGGGGUGUUCCAUGUCACUGGUUCGGGCUUGGCUAUAAAAAUUAUCUCUAGAUAUUUCUCUCCAAAACUGGUGUCUCUCAAAAUUGGGUAAAUCGGAGUCAAUGUUCAGGAUGCAUCUUGAAGAGAAACCAAGAUGGUCGCUCAGCUCUCUCCAGGAUAACAUAAUUUCUUGUUUGAACAUCCGAAAAACAAUUCCCCCCUCAUAGUAUUGUAAGGUGCAAAGAAAUUCGAGGGUGAGAAGACGAGAUCCCAGUUCGGUUAUAUUCCAAAAAUUUGUCCAACCCAUCAUUUGAAAAAUUAAGUCAAAUUCAGUGUCCAUACCUGUUUCUCGUAGUAGGAUUGGAUCGAUAGUAGGGGUGUGAAUGAAAUCUUUGUUCUUCAGUUGCUGAUAGACUUCCUUCUCUCUUCGGGUCUUCAGUCCUAGGUCUCCUAUCUUGAGAAGGACCUUAACUUGAUGACCUGAUGAAGAUGACGGAGCUUGUGUGGGUGUCGGAUCGACACUCAUCUCUGAUGGCUGUGAGGAGUGUCGGGCGGAACUCCUUGUACCAAUGUUCUUGAGAGCCUUCCCUGCAUUCUUCACCUUCUUAAACAUCCUGCAAACAAAAGUUGGCAAAAACACAACUGGUGGAAAAUGUGAGAUAAAAUGUUAGUAGUCAGCCGUCCGGAGUGUCAGUAGUCCAGAGGUUAAUCGUUCAAGACAAGUUUCUAUUUUGGUAGAGCCUCCCCCUAAAACAACUUUUACUUCCGCUUAGACAACUACUUACUAGGUGAUAAUCACUCUCUGAAAAGAACUCCAACCUUCCCUUCCACUCUCCUCUUUCUCUCUACUCUCUUCUCUUCACUACAAAAGCUCCUUCUCGGGAGACUGAGAUUUAUGUGGUUUUCUGAAGUGUUUGUGUGAAGAGAAGGGAAGCUGGAGGUGGCCUUUUAUAGGCUGAGCAGGGGACAGGGCAGGCGCCCAAGGUAGGUGGGCGGGCGCCCACCCCUAGUGUCCAUCCUGGGUGUGCCUCCUCCACAUGCUUCCUUGCUUUGAUCUCACGCAGAAUAAUAUUGUGUUGGUAGCUGUUGGACGGUGGAAAGAUGUCAGGUGAGUGGAAACAUAUUGGUGGAUGAAAUUAUAUGAUGGGAUGUAUGUGAGGUGAAGUGUAUGACAUGUGGGACCCAAGGAAUGUGGGUCAUGCUUCUAGAAGAUCAAUAUAAAUAAAUAUAAUGCAAGAAAAUCUAUGAGAAUUGAAACUUAAUGAUAAUGGGAAAUAUUUUUGUGCCUCCAAAAUAAUUAAUAAAUAUGGGUUGUUACACACCACGAAUAUUAUUUAUAUGGGGAUUUUUUAUUAUUAUAAUUAUGCUAUGAAUAUAUAUGACUAAUGCAAGAUUUAACUAUGCAAGAAUUUAAAUAUGAGAAACUUAAUAAUGCGGGUAAAUACCGAUUUACCUCCCGGUGAGGGUUUGGGAUUUUUAGGUCCCCCAAGCUGGACCUCCAAAUCUUUUAAUCUUCUUAGUUACCUUCCUCCGGAGAUGGUGUCUUCAGUAGUUCUUCAUGAACUUCCUUCACUGUAGAGUCUCUCUCUGGUCUGGGUUUGAAUGUGAAGUGUUCUUCUUGUCCGUUUAUGUUGAACUUGAUUUCUCCCUUCCCGACAUCAAUGUGGGCAUUGGCAGUGCUCAAGAAUGGCCUUCCAAGGAUGAUGGACACCUUCGAGUCAGGACUCAUGUCCAGUACUACGAUGUCUACUGGCACCAGGAAAUCUCUGAUCUUGACUGGAAUGUUCUCGGCGAUGCCCAACGGGUGUCGAACCGAUUGAUCCGCUAGUUGUAGGCACAUUGAUGUUGGUUCUAAGUUUGCAUGAUCAAGCUUUUUGUAGACUGAUGCUGGCAUCACACUGACACUUGCUCCGAGAUCACAAAGUGCAUUGUUGAAGUGUUGGUUUCCAAUUAAGCAAUCAAUAGUGGGGCAUCCUGGAUCUUCCUUCUUCUUUGGUGGUUUGUUGAGGAUGGCCGCACUACAUUCUUCUGUCAGCUUGAUAACCUCAGUGGUGGGCAGUGGUCUCUUCUUGUUAAGAAUAUCUCUGAUGUACUUUGCAUAUGUAGGUACCUUUAUGGCAUCGAGCAGAGGUAUGUUGACAUAUAAUUUCUGAAUGACCUCUACAAACUUACCAAACUGCUCAUCCGACUGCAGUCCUCUGUUUCUUCUGGGAAAUGGCAAAUAGUUGGUGUCGUAAAAAUCUUUCCUCAUUUCUCCAUUUCUUGGUAGUUGUAGCAGAUCUUCUGCUUCAACUGGGCUUUUUUCUUCUAUCACUGCUGGUUGCACUGGUGCUAAUGUUCUUUGUUUCUCUUUUGGGUAUGGUGGAUCUCUGGUGGCUUUGCCUCCUCUAGUAGUUAUAUUCUUUACGUGCUCAAGGUUAGUAGCAACAGGCAGUGCAGCAGCUAUCUUUAUUAAUUUAAGCUCUACCUUUUUAUUAAGAGUGUUUUGCUCAUCAAAGGCAGUUAGUAAAAAAUCCAUUUUAUUGUGUAUAUCUUUUAGAGACGAUUCAUUUGUAUCUAGCCUUUGUUUAACUUCAUCAUAAAUUUUGGUUUGUUGAGCAAUUAUCUCUUUUAAUGAAAGUUGCUUGAUAGUAUUACCUGAAUUCAUACCUUUGCUAUUGGGUUGACUCGAAGUUGGUUGAUAUUUGUAUGCUGUCUCAAUGGCCCUUUGAUCUUCUUUGAACUUGGCCCUCUGGUCAAUCCAAUGGAGCAAAUUUUCCAUCUUAGUUGAUAAUGCAUUUACUUCUUCUGGUAUUUCUUCAGUUUGAUGACAUUGUUGAGCUUUAUCUUGGAACCAGCUUUGGUUUUCUGCUAUCUUAUCCAAAAGUAUCUCUACUUUUCCAGUUGUAAGCCCCAAGAAUGAUCCUUUAGCAGAUGCAUCUAGGCACUCACGAGCCUUCUGGGUUAAUCCAUGGUAGAAGGUCUGCAUAAGUAACCAUGUGGCCAUUCCAUGGUGAGGACAAUCUGAUAUGUAUCCUUGAAAACGCUCUCAUGCUUCUGAAAUGGCUUCUGUCUUCUGCUGUUGGAAAUUUACAAUAUUUCCUCUUAAGGCAGUUGUUUUGCCCAUAGGGAAAAACUUUGAUAGAAAGGCAUCUGACAAGUUCGUCCAGUUGUUGAUGUUAUCUUGAUGAGUGUAGAACCACUUCCUCGCUUUCCCUUCUAGUGAGAAUGGAAAAAGGCGAAGCAGUAUGACGUCUUUGUCAACUCCGUUGAUGUGGAUUGUGCUUCCAAUUUCUAAGAAAUUCUGCAAGUGUGCACUAGCAUCUUCAUGUGCAUUUCCACUUAAUUGUGUAGCUUGUACCAAAUUGAUGAGGCUUGACUUGAGCUCAAACUCGGGUAUUCCUUCUUCUACUGCAAAUCUUGGACCAGUUGGAAUGUUCUCAAGACUUGGAGCAGAGAAUUCUUGCAAGGUCUUGUGUGCCAUAGCUUCAACAAUUGGUAGCUAGCUUCUUCUUCUCUUGAUUGCUUUGGUUCUGAUGAUGAAGAGUUGAAUGUACCCAGAGUCAAUCCUAUUAUACCCUGUAUAAAAAUAUAAACAUAGAAAAACAACAGGGUGAACCUGCCAAAGCAGAGGUGCCUUGUUAUGAUUUCUCACUUAGUAGCUGUUUUAUGCAAUUAUUUCUCUAUAGUCUAGUCUAAUAUUUUAUAUGAAUAACCUUGACUGAUUUUCUGGCUUCCUUAAUAUUACCCUUUUGUUCCCUUUUAUGACUUAAUUCCUGAGAUUCGUAUAAUUCCUAUAAGUUCCCCGGCAACGGCGCCAGAAAUGCUUGUUGACACUAGCUAACACCACUUAGAUACUAGGUUGUCAUCCCUAGCAUGGCGCUAGAGUGUACAAAGGUAUUUAUAAAUGUAAAGGCUCUUUAGAAAAUAAUCCAUUCUAUCCGCAAGCGCACAGAUAAAACACCUCAUUGUAGCAUUUCACUAGGAUAAGUAUUCCAGGUAUCGUUAUUUAUAAUUUUGCUCUAGGGAUCUAAGGAGAUGGAAUUAAAUCAAGGGACAAAAUCUAUCAAGGCAUAGACUAGAGAUAAACUUGCAAGAACAUGAUUACUAAUAAGAAACUCAUCACACAGUCACAUACUUUAGCAGAGGGUAAACCAUAAAGAUAAUGAUAAUAAAGUAUAAGUUCAUGGGAUAAAGAGCACAGCGAUUAGAAAAUAGACUACACCUCAUAUAUGUAGGUGAUGUCGGAUUAGCUAGAGAAUGGAUUCUAAGUUAUCUACUAACUACUAAGUCAUAAUCUACUCUAGUUAUCUACAAGAUCAUAUAUAGCAUAAAAGACUCUUCAUUCAUGUAUAAGGAACAUUGAUAAAGUAAACCAGAACAUCGCAUGACUUACUCCACAAUACCGGUUCUGCCUGUCCUAUCAACGGAGGGUGGACUAUAUAAGAAUCAACGAAGCUGUCACUAUCGCGAACUACCACACGACUCGGCCAAUAGGAUACAUUUGCAGAUAAAUAACAUCUAAGCACCACGCUCACAUGUGAUCUAUCACCUAACUCCCUCGCGUCAAGAGCUAAGCGCUUUGCAAACUUAUACAUAAACUCAUUAUCAAUUAGAACUAUAUCAAAUAUAGAACUAGAGCAAACUAAGAGCAUAAUAAUUAGAGACAUAAUGCAAUUAGAACAAUAGAAUUAGAGAAAGAUAUGAAUAAUACCAAUCUUUAUUACCGAAGAUCCGAAUCCAGAGCGUAGUGCUCUACUUCUCUAAUUGCUAUCUAAUCAAACUCUAAACUUGAAGGAUUAUGGAGUAGCUAAUUCUAAUUCUCUGUGGGAGAGAAGCUCUAAACCCUAACUUUGAUGGCUACCUCUGAAUAAUGAUUUCUCCUCCUCUCCUCCAGGGGCCAGGGGGUCUGGUUUUAUAGUCCCCUCAAGUGAACGUGAGCCAUUGGAUCAAACUGACAUAGAUUGUAUGGUUUAGAUUGAUCCUUUAGGUCGGUGGAGUCUUGUCCCGAAGCAGAGUCCUGAUUGGCCUCUUGGCCAGGGCGGGCGCCCAAGGGGGGUGGGCGGCCGCCCAGCUCCCGAGCCAGAUUCGCUUCCCGUUCGUUCCCGUGGCUUCUGGAUCCUUCUAGAUUGAGGAAAAUUGCGCGGCACGUAAUUAUCUCGUUGUAAACAUGACAUGUGGGCCUUCUCUCCAUAUUUUCUGAUAACUCCCUGCAGAAAUAGAUAAACAUCAAAGCUCGUGGAAUUCUGUCAGAUAAAACCCUAAUUCUAGAUGUUUGUUUCAUAUUGAUCCUUUUUCAUGUUUAUUUGAUUAUUAAUUUUAGUACUUAAGGACCGUCAACAGCUGUGGUAGGAAUUUAAACUUUCAUCAUACAGGAACUCAUCAUGUGUUAUUUUAAAGAUUUU
This 7416-nucleotide long non-coding RNA is filed under the name Sorghum bicolor (sorghum). RNAcentral's name for it is "long non-coding RNA (SBIC_LNC008460)". The stretch from base 5018 to 5124 matches the Rfam family "Plant small nucleolar RNA R71". The record is from RNAcentral. Lineage: Eukaryota; Viridiplantae; Streptophyta; Magnoliopsida; Poales; Poaceae.